ACUCAAAGGAAUUGACGGGGACCCGCACAAGCGGUGGAGCAUGUGGUUUAAUUGGAAGCAACGCGAAGAACCUUACCAAGUCUUGACAUCCCCCUGACCGGCGAGUAACGUCGCCUUUCCUUCGGGACAGAGGAGACAGGUGGUGCAUGGUUGUCGUCAGCUCGUGUCGUGAGAUGUUGGGUUAAGUCCCGCAACGAGUGCAUCCCUUAUCCUUAGUAGCCAGCAUUAAGAUGGGCACUCUAGGGAGUCUGCCAGGGACAACCUGGAGGAAGGUGGGGAUGACGUCAAAUCAUCAUGCCCGUUAUGAUUUGGGCUACACACGUGCUACAAUGGCGUAAACAAAGGGAAGCGGCCCUGCGAAGGUGAGCAAAUCUCAAAAAUAACGUCCCAGUUCGGACUGUAGUCUGCAACCCGACUACACGAAGCUGGAAUCGGUAGUAUUCGCGAAUCAGAAUGUCGCGGUGAAUACGUUCCCGGGUCUUGUACACACCGCCCGUCACACCAUGGGAGUCAGCAACGCCCGAAGUCAAUGAACCAACUCGCAAGAGAGGGAGCUG
RNAcentral lists this ribosomal RNA (557 nucleotides) under uncultured organism. RNAcentral describes it as "SSU rRNA". It matches the Rfam family "Bacterial small subunit ribosomal RNA", at positions 899 to 1455 of the family's 1533-position model. The record is from RNAcentral.